RNAcentral lists this ribosomal RNA (497 nucleotides) under uncultured bacterium. RNAcentral describes it as "partial 16S ribosomal RNA". It matches the Rfam family "Bacterial small subunit ribosomal RNA", at positions 28 to 507 of the family's 1533-position model. The record is from RNAcentral.
GACGAACGCUGGCGGCGUGCCUAAUACAUGCAAGUUGAGCGCUGAAGGUUGGUACUUGUACCGACUUGAUGAGCAGCGCACGGGUGAGUAACGCGUGGGGAAUCUGCCUUUCAGCGGGGGACAACCUUUGGAAACGAAUGCUAAUACCGCAUAAAAACUUUAAACACAAGUUUUAAGUUUGAAAGAUGCAAUUGCAUCACUCAAAGAUGAUCCCGCGUUGUAUUAGUAAGUUGGUGAGGUAAAGGCUCACCAAGGCGAUGAUACAUAGCCGACCUGAGAGGGUGGUCGGCCACAUUGGGACUGAGACACGGCCCAAACGCCUACGGGAGGCAGCAGUAGGGAAUCUUCGGCAAUGGACGAAAGUCUGACCGAGCAACGCCGCGGGAGUGAAGAAGGUUGUCGGAUCGUAAAACUCGGUUGGUAGAGAAGAACGUUGGUGAGAGUGGAAAGCUCAGCAAGUGACGGUAACUACCCAGAAAGGGACGGCUAACUACGUG